AAUCGAUUUGAAUUUUGGCUCAGAUCAAAAUUCAAAUCGAGAUCGGAUUGAAAUAAAUGAGUCCAACUAUGAGCCGAAAAUUUUGCCGCAAUUUUUUUUGAGCCAAUUUUGAGCCAUACAUGGAUCGUGCUCAAACUAACUCCAGAGCAGUUCGUAGUAUUUUUUUUUUAUUAUUUUUAAAAAGUAUGUAUAUAUAUAUAAUGAGUUACAGGCCAAUUUCGAGGUGGAAUGGUUCCAAAUAAUUAGAUUUGAGCUAGUUUAUUUUAAUUUUGAGCUGACUCCUCCCUUCAAUAACUCGAUUCACUGUCCUUUCUACAGUAUACUGAGCCACCAAUAUUAGACUAUCUUCCAACACCUCCUCGACGUUCUGUAGAUCGACCGAUUAGGCCGUCGGAAUGCUACCUGCGACCUCCCACAGGUGAGAAUCACAUUCAUGAUUGUGGAAGUAUCCUGUAUUACAUUCGCUUGGAAUGGAUGGCAAGUUGUGAUGUUGUGCACUUGAGGGUUAAAAAACGACAGAAUCAAUGAACACAAGAAAGAACACAUGGAUUUAAAGAGGUUCGGCAAUUUGCCUACGUCCUCAGAGGCAAGAGCGAUGUGAUCUUACCUUCGAAUGAGCACAAGUCUAUAGAUUGGUGAUGAUAGCUCGCCGCCAUCUUGCUGUGGUUCUGUACCGACUGGAGCAACUCUUCUCGGGACUUGUAUUAAAUCCAGAUUCUGAAGACCCUUUGUCUAUCGAAAGCAAACAGUACAGAGCUUCUUUCCAUUUCCAGCCACCUCAAAACCGGUUCAAUGUUUCAAGAUUUAGGAAGAAUGAGACGCAUAAGGUUGAUAUAGAGGUAGAAUAUGAGCUUCUAUAGCUCGAAAUGGCUCAGCUUGUGCACCAUGAGUGGAAACUCGACAAUGUGCAGAUGGCCGGCAACGAUCAAGUGGAUUCUUCAGUUUCAGGAAGCAUAGGGACUUUUGGCCCGCUUGUUUUGGAUUCUCAUGAACCUGCGGAGCUCACUGCAGUUCUCUUUAGAGUAUUUAAGAUCAGUACUGAUCAUGCUGUUCUUAUGUGCUCUGAUCAAAGAAACAAGAUCAUCAUUGUGGCCUAAACUUUACAAGCCAGCAUUUGGAGGGGAGCUUUGUGGGCAUGGAUGUAAAAGCUGGGAAGACAUCUCUGAAGGACUUUUGAUAAAUUCAAUGAUUUGGAAGAGCCUGCAUCACUGCUAGAGCAGUACAUCCCAAGUUUGCUGCUUUCUGGAGAGCCUAUGUGUGCACAUUUGCAGGCACAUGUAGGGGCAACGGAGAUCUAACAUGUACUGGUUCAACUUGCUUGUUUUGCUAAUUUUAAAUUAUACCCGACUUAAUCUUCAUUUUUUUUUUUGGU
Molecule: RNA transcript, 1372 nt
Organism: Phalaenopsis equestris
Lineage: Eukaryota; Viridiplantae; Streptophyta; Magnoliopsida; Asparagales; Orchidaceae
Gene name: fructan 1-exohydrolase-like
Exons: 8
Source: RefSeq, a predicted model, not a curated record